UUAAUAAUUAUUUAUUAAUUUUAUAAUUUUAUUUAUAUUAUUAUUAUUAAAAAUAAUUAUAAAUUUAAAUGUUUUAGUAUAUUAUAUAAAAAAAAUAAAAUUAUUAAUAGUUUAUUAGUAUUGUAAAAUAAUAUUGAAAUAUAAUGAAAAAUUUUUAUUUUAAAAGAAAAUUUUAUUUAUUGUAUCUUGUGUAUCAGAGUAUAUUAAAUAAAAAAUAAUAAUUUUAUUUUUCUCGAUUUUAAAAGAUUUAAUAAAUUAUAAAAAUUAAUGUAAUAAAAUUAUUUUUAAUAAUUUAUUAGAAAUGAAAUGUUAUUCGUUUUUAAAGGUAUCUAGUUUUUUAAGAAAUAAAUUAAAUUUAGAUUUUUAAAAUUUAUUUAUUUAUUUUUUUUAAUUAAAUAAUUUUUAGAAAUUAAUAUUUUAUGGGAUAAGCUAUAAAAUAAAUUUUUAUAAAUAAUAAAUAUAAUUUAAAUAUUAUAUGUUUAGAAUUAUCAAUUAUUAUUAAAUUUGUUAUAAAUUAAUUUUUAUAAGAAAUUAUUUAUUAUAUUUUAAAUUUUUAUUAAAAUAUUUUUUUUAACAAUAAAAAUAAAAUAAUAAUGAUAUAAUUAGUAUAUUAUAAUUUAUUUAAUUUUUUUAAAAUGAAAAGUUUAUUUAAAGAAUUCGGCAAAAAUAAUAUUCGCCUGUUUAACAAAAACAUGUCUUUUAGAAUUUAAUUUAAAGUCUAACCUGCCCAAUGAUUUUUUUAAUGGCCGCAGUAUUUUAACUGUGCAAAGGUAGCAUAAUCAUUAGUCUUUUAAUUGAAGGCUGGAAUGAAUGGUUGGACGAAAUAUUAACUGUUUCAUUUAAAAUUAUAAUAAAAUUUUAUUUUUUAAUUAAAAAGUUAAAAUUUAAUUAAAAGACGAGAAGACCCUAUAAAUCUUUAUAUAUUUAUUAAUUUUAAUCUUAAAGAUUUUUUUAAUUAUAAUUAAUAAAUAUAUUUUAUUGGGGUGAUAUUAAAAUUUAAUUAACUUUUAAAUAUUUAAAUCAUUAAUUUAUGAAUAAUUGAUCCAAUUAUAUUGAUUAAAAAUUUAAGUUACUUUAGGGAUAACAGCGUAAUUUUUUUGGAGAGUUCAUAUUGAUAAAAAAGAUUGCGACCUCGAUGUUGGAUUAAGAUAUAAUUUUAGGUGUAGCCGUUUAAAUUUAAAGUCUGUUCGACUUUUAAAAUCUUACAUGAUCUGAGUUCAAACCGGUGUAAGCCAGGUUGGUUUCUAUCUUUAAUAAAUUAAAAUAUUUUAGUACGAAAGGAUUAAAUAUUUAAUUAAUAAUAAUUUAAAAAUAAGAAUAUUAUUAAUAAUUUA
Molecule: ribosomal RNA, 1334 nt
Filed under: Melanostoma orientale
Lineage: Eukaryota; Metazoa; Arthropoda; Insecta; Diptera; Syrphidae
Description: 16S ribosomal RNA
Source: RNAcentral